CCUACGGGAGGCAGCAGUGGGGAAUAUUGGACAAUGGGGGCAACCCUGAUCCAGCAAUUCCGCGUGUGUGAAGAAGGCCUGCGGGUUGUAAAGCACUUUCAGUAGCCAAGAUGGGAUUAAGUGUUAAUACCACUUAGUCUUGACAUUAACUACAGAAGAAGCACCGGCUAACUCCGUGCCAGCAGCCGCGGUAAUACGGAGGGUGCAAGCGUUAAUCGGAAUUACUGGGCGUAAAGAGUACGUAGGCGGCUUUUCAAGUCGGAUGUGAAAUCCCUGAGCUUAACUUAGGAACUGCAUUCGAUACUGAAUCGCUAGAGUUUAUUAGAGGAUAGUGGAAUUUCAAGUGUAGCGGUGAAAUGCGUAGAUAUUUGAAGGAACACCAAUGGCGAAGGCAGCUAUCUGGAGUAAUACUGACGCUGAGGUACGAAAGCGUGGGGAGC
Molecule: ribosomal RNA, 440 nt
Filed under: uncultured bacterium
Lineage: Bacteria
Description: bacterial SSU rRNA
Rfam family: Bacterial small subunit ribosomal RNA
Source: RNAcentral